This 301-nucleotide ribosomal RNA is filed under the name uncultured bacterium. RNAcentral's name for it is "partial 16S ribosomal RNA". It matches the Rfam family "Bacterial small subunit ribosomal RNA", at positions 509 to 807 of the family's 1533-position model. The record is from RNAcentral.
CAGCAGCCACGGGAAUACGGAGGGUGCAAGCGUUACUCGGAAUCACUGGGCGUAAAGGACGCGUAGGCGGAUUAUCAAGUCUCUUGUGAAAUCUAACGGCUUAACCGUUAAACUGCUUGGGAAACUGAUAAUCUAGAGUAAGGGAGAGGCAGAUGGAAUUCUUGGUGUAGGGGUAAAAUCCGUAGAUAUCAAGAAGAAUACCUAUUGCGAAGGCGAUCUGCUGGAACUUAACUGACGCUAAUGCGCGAAAGCCAGGGGAGCGAACGGGAUUAGAUACCCCAGUAGUCCCUGUCUCUUAUAC